This 3091-nucleotide long non-coding RNA is filed under the name Salmo trutta (river trout). Its description in RNAcentral is "lncRNA (ENSSTUG00000021156.1)". Lineage: Eukaryota; Metazoa; Chordata; Actinopteri; Salmoniformes; Salmonidae. The record is from RNAcentral.
CCUGGAGAUCAGCCAGAGGAAAGCUCGGGGGCUUUGGUUCGCACCAUGAAACCCCUCCAGCAAGCAGGGAAGGAUUAUCUGUCCCUAGGGACCUGUUUUCAAGCCCUUCACACUGUCAACUCUGAGACACAUACUGUAUCAGGAUGGACAUUUUCAUCACCCCAUCUCAACCUGCCAACAACCAUCACCCAACCGACAAUGCAGCAGCAAAACACCUGCACUCUGGAGGCCUACAGGAGGAUUACCCUGACACAUCACUAUGGGAUUCAAGCUCCACCAGCACAUCCCUCCACCAACACAAAUGUUCCACACAUACACACUGUACUGUACUGGCCCUCAGAGAGACACCAGAGGCAAGGUGCCACGGACACAGUGCCUUCAGCUGAGACCUCACCUCCCCUCCAAUGGACUGCCUGGGGGAAAGGAGCAUGUGCUGCACUCUGUCUCUUCCCUAGUGUCUUAGUUCUGGAAUAAGAUCCCAGAGAGACCAGUACAAGAGGACACACUGUGUAUGUUGCCGUUAUGUAUCUCCCUUGUCUUCACCAGGCCUGUGUUUGGUCUAUAGCUACCCCCAGUGGAGUACAGGUGUUUUGUAGCAUCACAAUGUGUUCAUGGUUUUUUGUCGUUGUCCCAGGACAAAUGUAAGCACAUAAAUGUGUCUGCAAAUCAGACAGCGUUUGCAUGUUGUUACUUAAGUGAAAAUCAUUUCAGUGUCACAAAUUGAGAUUACUCAUCUCAAGAGGUGAAUGUCUUUGAGAAAAUGUAUUUAACACACUCACACACGCGCAAGCACACACAUAUUAUUGCAUUCCUCCAUAGGAGGUUGGUGGCACCUUAAUUGGGGAGGACGGGCUCGUGGUAACGGCUGGAGCGGAAUUGGUGGAAUGGUAUCAAAUACAACAAACACAUGGUUUCCAGGUGAUUGAUGCCAUUCCAUUCGCUCCGUUCCAGCCAUUAUUAUGAGCCGUCCUCCCCUCAGCAGCCUCCACUGCAUUCCUCCUCUUUUUUUCCUUCCGCCUCCUCUCUCUUCCCAUUCUACACUCUCAUCUCCUCUUUCCAACAUUUUAUCUUCUUCACCAAUAGCGACAAUAAUUGCAUGGGAAAGUCAUCAGAUUAUCUACUCUUCAGAAGCAGUGGCCAAAUGACGUCACAGCUGCAGGUUGUUCCAGGUGGCUUAUCAGAAGUGCUGAGUGACUUUGUUCUCUCUGACUUCUUUCUCGAAACAUGGUCCACUCUUCGCUUCUUCCCACUUCUUUUUUUGUAUCGUUGGGGAAAUUAAAACUUGCCUGUGAGUUACCCUAGCAAUAAAUCACUUGUCAGCAAAACUCACCAUUACUGCUAAUAUGGAAAACCUCAAGCUGCAGUUCAGUGCAUCUCCCAAGAUUCCUAAAUGAGUCAUGUGAUUCCAUUUCUAUUUAGUCAACCCCACACAUGCAUUACAUACAUUAUAUCUAUGUAAUGUGACAUGUUUGUGAGUUUGAGUCUGUGUGUGUGUGUGACUGUGAAAGUGUGUGACAGUGUUUGUGUCGGUGGGAAUGUGUGCAGCAUGUACAGUACUGAAUACAUGUACGCUUGAGCCGAUACCCAGCUGUAAAAUGUAGAUAGUCUCAGCUGGUACUGUACGCCUGGCUGACUGCACUCUAGAACCCUUGGCAUCGGAGUGCUGAGAGACACUUCUCAGGAGAGGCACUCUCUCUAUUGCCAGGAAUGAGGAACAACCCCCUUCAUACAUACAUCCACACACACACAAACCACACACACACACACACACACACACACACACACACACACACACACACACACACACACACACACACACACACACACACACACACACACACACACACACACACACACACACACACACACACACACACACACACACACACACACACACACACACACACACACACACACACGUCAUUCAUAUCAUAGAUUAGUUGCACAAAACGAAGCCAAGCCCCCCUGUUCUCUGUGGCUCGGUAGGGGCUCUGGCUGCAGGCAGACGUAUGUACGUGUGCAUGUUUGUGUCAUGCUCAUGCAGAGGAGGAGAGGAGACCCCGAGCAUACUCCUUCCACUCUCAGGCAGACAUCUGCCACAUGAAAAGAGUGAUGCUGUGAUGCAGAAAGGAGUGAUGCAGAUGGGGCGGCAGGUAGCCUAGCGGAGUGUUGGGCCAAUAAGGUCGCUGGUUCAAAUCCCCAAGGCAGCAAGAUGAAAAGUCUGUCGAUGUGCCCUUGAGCAAGGCACUUAACCCUAGCCCUAAAACUGAUUUAAAAAGGUACAUUAUAUGGCAUCAGCCAGUAACAGCAUGCUUCAGACAUAGUGCUGUUAUUACUCUGGGUGCAAACUGCAAAGCAUCCAUCUACUCUUCAGAGGAUGUCUAAUGACAGACUGGGGGUGUAUUUAUAAAGUUCACUCUUCUGAAUCAUGACUCUGCGUUCAACGCUUUGAGUCAAGACAAAGGGAAGCCCACCAAUCAUAUCAUGAGGAGUGUACACAUACACGCUUUUCUCUCAAUGGAUCUAAAUACCAAGCCAGUCAGUAAAGAAUGGGUUUUAGUGUAAAAUGUUUAUUGUGCUUAGCUCUUUGGCUGUAUGUAUAACGAUGAUCCACUAUCCGAUCAGUUGAAGGAGCUCGAACGGGACCAAGGAUACCAGAGAUUACGGAAAAUGUAUAAAUAAAUUAAUCAAGAAUUUAAAGGGGAAAGAAGACUCAUAUUACUUUCAUUGCUAAGUAUGAAUACAAUUUGUAACAUUGUCAUUGCCCCCAAAAUGUCCCAGUCAACAAAGUCAGACAAAUCCUUAUGGUAUUACAAGGCCUGUUUCAAUAAACUGCUUUAGUGUUGUACUGGACACUGUAAAAUGCAUUUGUCUCUAGAAAGAAAUGCAAAGUGCUGUGUCACUGUGCUUUGACUUUACCUCUAAUAUCCUGGAUGUGAGGAGAGAGGGAGACUCUCCAGGAGUGAUGUAACAACAGGGCUCCCUCUCCUCUGCCUUGUGAAUCCCUAGGAGCAGUCACCAUAGCAACAAUAUUAGACUACGCACAAGACUGUUCAAUGGUAGAGGAAUUUCAGGUUGGAAUGUAACAAUA